Molecule: ribosomal RNA, 468 nt
Filed under: uncultured bacterium
Lineage: Bacteria
Description: partial 16S ribosomal RNA
Rfam family: Bacterial small subunit ribosomal RNA
Source: RNAcentral
GACGAACGCUGGCGGCGUGCUUAACACAUGCAAGUCGAACGGUGAUGCUCCAGCUUGCUGGAGUGGAUCAGUGGCGAACGGGUGAGUAACACGUGAGCAACCUGCCCCAGACUCUGGAAUAAGCGCUGGAAACGGCGUCUAAUACUGGAUACGAAACUGGCCCGCAUGGGCAUGGUUUGUAAAGUUUUUCGGUUUGGGAUGGGCUCGCGGCCUAUCAGCUUGUUGGUGAGGUAAUGGCUCACCAAGGCGACGACGGGUAGCCGGCCUGAGAGGGCGACCGGCCACACUGGGACUGAGACACGGCCCAGACUCCUACGGGAGGCAGCAGUGGGGAAUAUUGCACAAUGGGCGAAAGCCUGAUGCAGCGACGCCGCUUGAGGGAUGACGGCCUUCGGGUUGUAAACCUCUUUCAGCAGGGAAGAAGCGAAAGUGACGGUACCUGCAGAAGAAGCACCGGCUAACUACGUG